RNAcentral lists this ribosomal RNA (857 nucleotides) under uncultured bacterium. Its description in RNAcentral is "SSU rRNA". It matches the Rfam family "Bacterial small subunit ribosomal RNA", at positions 524 to 1381 of the family's 1533-position model. The record is from RNAcentral.
UACGGGAGUGGCAAGCGUUAUCCGGAAUUAUUGGGCGUAAAGCGUCCGCAGGCGGUCUGUCAAGUCUGCUGUUAAAGCGUGGAGCUUAACUCCAUUAAGGCAGUGGAAACUGACAGACUAGAGUGUGGUAGGGGCAGAGGGAAUUCCCGGUGUAGCGGUGAAAUGCGUAGAUAUCGGGAAGAACACCAGUGGCGAAGGCGCUCUGCUGGGCCAUAACUGACGCUCAUGGACGAAAGCCAGGGGAGCGAAAGGGAUUAGAUACCCCUGUAGUCCUGGCCGUAAACGAUGAACACUAGGUGCCGGGGGAAUCGACCCCCUCGGUGUCGUAGCCAACGCGUUAAGUGUUCCGCCUGGGGAGUACGCACGCAAGUGUGAAACUCAAAGGAAUUGACGGGGGCCCGCACAAGCGGUGGAGUAUGUGGUUUAAUUCGAUGCAACGCGAAGAACCUUACCAGGGUUUGACAUCCUGCGAAUCUCUUGGAAACGAGAGAGUGCCUUCGGGAACGCAGUGACAGGUGGUGCAUGGCUGUCGUCAGCUCGUGUCGUGAGAUGUUGGGUUAAGUCCCGCAACGAGCGCAACCCACGUCGUUAGUUGCCAGCAUUUAGUUGGGCACUCUAGCGAGACCGCCGGUGAUAAACCGGAGGAAGGUGUGGAUGACGUCAAGUCAUCAUGCCCCUUACAUCCUGGGCUACACACGUACUACAAUGCUACGGACAAAGGGCAGCAAACUCGCGAGAGCUAGCAAAUCCCAUAAACCGUGGCUCAGUUCAGAUCGUAGGCUGCAACUCGCCUACGUGAAGGAGGAAUCGCUAGUAAUCGCAGGUCAGCAUACUGCGGUGAAUACGUUCCCGGGCCU